UCCUCUGCCAAGGUCACCUUUUCGUGAUCAUUUACAUAGAAUACAAAUAUUUUCACCUUUUUUGCCCAUUCAGAAGACUGUGUACAAAUUCUACUCCCCCAAAUUCCUUUGAACAAAUUUUCCCAUCGUGUUUCUUUCAAGUCCCUGACCAUCCACGUAUAUGGUCACAUGUCUUUCCGUUUAUGCUUCCAUAGUAUACAUCCAGGUGCACAAUGAAGUCCACCCAGUGGGAAGAUUUCCCUUUCAGUGAUGCACCAGAAAGGGGCUGAGUCCUGCAAAUUUCACCUUUGGGUAAUGUUGCAUAUCAUGCAGAACCAUCAGUACAAGCUGAGAAAGAAGACUAAUAGGAGUGGUGAGGGGUCAUAAUAAUUUAGCCCACUUCUUCAUGUACCUUACUUAUGCAUUUAAAUCUUGCUGGAGCCUGAUCUUAUAUAUAACCACUUCCAUUUGAUGCUGGAGCACUGCUGUGCAUACUCAGCUGUAUGGUUUUGUGAAACACUCAGUUCAUGACAGACAGUUCUGGUCACAUAGUAAUAUGGUGGUCCAUGGUUAAGUGUUCAGACCCAGUAGCAGGCUGAGAGCUGGUUCUCAAAAGGAGGAUAAUUAUCUAGGGGUGAUAGCAGGGCUUUGCUCCAAAUUCCUCAAGAGCUUCACUGUGAUUCACCUAUAAUAAAUACUCUGUCACACACUCCAAAUAGCGUCUCUAACUGCC
RNAcentral lists this long non-coding RNA (712 nucleotides) under Marmota monax (woodchuck). Lineage: Eukaryota; Metazoa; Chordata; Mammalia; Rodentia; Sciuridae. The record is from RNAcentral.